Peromyscus maniculatus bairdii (prairie deer mouse) is the source of this 166-nucleotide small nuclear RNA. Its record names the gene U1. It matches the Rfam family "U1 spliceosomal RNA". Rfam says of the family: U1 is a small nuclear RNA (snRNA) component of the spliceosome (involved in pre-mRNA splicing). Its 5' end forms complementary base pairs with the 5' splice junction, thus defining the 5' donor site of an intron. Lineage: Eukaryota; Metazoa; Chordata; Mammalia; Rodentia; Cricetidae. The record is from Ensembl.
AUAUUUAACCUGGCAGGGAAGAUACCAUGAUCACAAAGGUGGUCUUCCCAGGGUGAGGUUUAUCCAUUACACUCCGGAUGUGCUGGCCCCUGCAGUCUCCCCAAAUUUGGAAAACUUGACUGCAUACUUUGUGGUAGUGGGGGGACUGUGUUCUCACAACCCUGAA